GUGGGGAAUCUUGCGCAAUGGGCGAAAGCCUGACGCAGCCAUGCCGCGUGAAUGAUGAAGGUCUUAGGAUUGUAAAAUUCUUUCACCGGGGACGAUAAUGACGGUACCCGGAGAAGAAGCUCCGGCUAACUUCGUGCCAGCAGCCGCGGUAAUACGAAGGGGGCUAGCGUUGCUCAGAAUUACUGGGCGUAAAGGGCGCGUAGGCGGACAGCUUAGUCAGAGGUGAAAGCCCAGGGCUCAACCUUGGAAUUGCCUUUGAUACUGGCUGUCUUGAGUUUGGGAGAGGUGAGUGGAACUCCGAGUGUAGAGGUGAAAUUCGUAGAUAUUCGGAAGAACACCAGUGGCGAAGGCGACUCACUGGCCCAAUACUGACGCUGAGGCGCGAAAGCGUGGGGAGCAAACAGGAUUAGAUACCCCUGUAGUCC
This 425-nucleotide ribosomal RNA is filed under the name uncultured bacterium. RNAcentral's name for it is "partial 16S ribosomal RNA". It matches the Rfam family "Bacterial small subunit ribosomal RNA", at positions 354 to 796 of the family's 1533-position model. The record is from RNAcentral.